CAAUAGCGUAUAUUAACGUUGUUGCAGUUAAAAAGCUCGUAGUUGGAUUUCUGGAGGGAGCGUCGGCCCGUAUUUACGAGUGCGUGACGUCUCUGUCCAUCCUGGCGGGAAGGCACGGCAUUGAUUUGUUGUGUCGGAUCGCAUCAUUUACUGUGAAAAAAUUAGAGUGUUCAAAGCAGGCUUUCGCUUGAAUACAUUAGCAUGGAAUAAUAAGAUAGGACUUUGGUGCUAUUUUGUUGGUUGAGCCUAAAGUAAUGAUUAAUAGGGAUAGUUGGGGGCACCUGUAUUGCGUUGUCAGAGGUGAAAUUCUUGGAUUUACGCAAGACAAACAGCUGCGAAAGCGUCUGCCAAGGAUGUUUNCAUUA
Molecule: ribosomal RNA, 365 nt
Filed under: uncultured eukaryote
Lineage: Eukaryota
Description: partial 18S ribosomal RNA
Rfam family: Eukaryotic small subunit ribosomal RNA
Source: RNAcentral